RNAcentral lists this RNase P RNA (350 nucleotides) under Alistipes sp. RNAcentral's name for it is "RNase P RNA component class A". It matches the Rfam family "Bacterial RNase P class A". Rfam says of the family: Ribonuclease P (RNase P) is a ubiquitous endoribonuclease, found in archaea, bacteria and eukarya as well as chloroplasts and mitochondria. Its best characterised activity is the generation of mature 5'-ends of tRNAs by cleaving the 5'-leader elements of precursor-tRNAs. Cellular RNase Ps are ribonucleoproteins. Lineage: Bacteria; Pseudomonadati; Bacteroidota; Bacteroidia; Bacteroidales; Rikenellaceae. The record is from RNAcentral.
CGGCAUGCGCGCUCUAUCGCUGCCACCGCAAGGUGGGGGAGGAAAGUCCGAGCAACGCAGAGCACCACGCAAGUUAACGGCUUGAUAUCCGUGAGGGUAUAGUAGCGUAGAAGAAAAUAACCGCCCGCAAGGGUAAGGGUGAGAAGGCGGGGUAAGAGCCCACCGCGAGGGUAGCAAUACGCCUCGGCUGUGCGUCUCGUGGGUUGCAAGACCAUGUAUACCGACAAUUAAGGGUUGCUCGUCCAAUGUCGGGGGGUAGGUUGCUGGAGGCUGUGGGUGACCACAGUCGUAGAUAAAUGAUAGGGGCGUCUUCGGAGGAACAGAACUCGGCUUAUAUCGUGUGCAGAAAA